CUUGAAUCUCAUUUUCAUUUUUCUGCAGAAUUUCUGCUCAACAAACAAUGCAAGGGGGAAAAAGAAAAAGAUGAAAUCAAUGAACUCCACCCUCCAAUGAUCUGUCCUUGCAAUCAUCGCUAGUUUUCUCCCCAGUAAAUCCUCCGAAACUCGCUCCCGCCACCAUAACCAUCAAAAACCCCAACACCAAAUGCGUCUUGAACAGCCACAGAACUAUACCCAUUUCUCAACUCUCCUCCAUAGCCAUUGUUGAGAGCACCACUUUUGAACCCGCUCUAAACCGAAUUUCUAUGGAUGAGCUAAAAAUUGCUGCUUUUUGUGAGGAGAGAUGAGAGGCAAAUAGAAUAUGAAGUAGGUAGAAAUAUGAAUGAGGAAGGAAGGAGAGAAUUUCUGGAGAUGUUCAGUCAUAUAAAG
RNAcentral lists this unclassified non-coding RNA (414 nucleotides) under Hevea brasiliensis (rubber tree). The record is from RNAcentral. Lineage: Eukaryota; Viridiplantae; Streptophyta; Magnoliopsida; Malpighiales; Euphorbiaceae.